RNAcentral lists this ribosomal RNA (301 nucleotides) under uncultured bacterium. RNAcentral describes it as "partial 16S ribosomal RNA". It matches the Rfam family "Bacterial small subunit ribosomal RNA", at positions 509 to 807 of the family's 1533-position model. The record is from RNAcentral.
CAGCCGCCGCGGUAAGACGAACCGUGCGAACGUUAUUCGGAAUCACUGGGCUUAAAGCGCGUGUAGGCGGAUGGGAGCGUCGGCCUCUGAAAUCCCCCGGCUCAACCGGGGAAGUGGAGCCGAAACGACCCGUCUGGAGGGACGUAGGGGGACCUGGAACUUCCGGUGGAGCGGUGAAAUGCGUUGAGAUCGGAAGGAACGCCCGUGGCGAAAGCGAGGUCCUGGACGUCUGCUGACGCUGAGACGCGAAAGCCAGGGGAGCGAACGGGAUUAGAUACCCCCGUAGUCCCUGUCUCUUAUA